This is a long non-coding RNA of Ursus thibetanus thibetanus, 2054 nucleotides long. The record is from Ensembl. Lineage: Eukaryota; Metazoa; Chordata; Mammalia; Carnivora; Ursidae.
AUUGGCGACCUCACACAUCACCUCAAAUGAACAGAGGGCAAAAUCCCUAGAGGGGAGAGUGGGCGGAGGGGUGGGGGGAUCACAUUCCCAAACUUCUCCAAGCUCCGAACUCCAGACUCCUCCUUCCAAGAAGCCUCAAGGGCUCCUCCACUAGGAAGCAGGAACAAACUAGUUCCUUUAUAGGGGGCACCAGGCCGCCGCGUACCUGACUCAGUUUCCUCUGCCGCAAAGAGGCAUCUUGCCCCCACAAGCCAACUGAACCUGCCGGUCUGGAAGGCUUUUGGAGAUAUCUGAAGAUAGCCGUCUGUGGGUACUGCCCCCACAGGUUCCUAUCGAAACCUCCCACAGUUGUUCUGAGCAAUUUGUAUCUUAAAAUAAGGACUAUCAUGAGAAAAAAUGAUGUAAAAAUACUAUCAAUAUACAUGUGGCCUGUCACUCCACAAGUGUUUCUAAUCGUCACUCCACAAGUGUUUCUAAUCAUCACAACCCAGCAAAGAGAGUACUAUUAUUCCCAUGUUAUUAACAAAGAUCUGAAGAUUAAGUAAUUUACCCAAAGCCACAGUUUGAAAGAGGCCAAGCUGAAAUUUGAAACCAGGUCUUUCCACCCCCAGUAACUCAAGGAAAGACUUGCCUUCUAGAGGCCUCCUGCCCCUUUCCUACCUGGCUAUUUUGGUAACUUUCCUUGAUGGAAUUCUGUCUUCUCUGCUUCUCUGCAGGGCUUUAUUCCCCCCCAUGAAAGCAUUUAUUGUCUCCUGUUUUCCCCUCUCUGGUUCCUUUCCUCUUGAGAUGUCAGGACAUUGUUCAUCUUCUCAUUUCUGAAAUGAAUUUGUGACCUGUGAUUAAGGCACACAUUCUCCACCUGAUCUCUCCUUCUCUUGGUGUUAAUUAUAGUCAUAGAAAGUUAAUAGGUCCAGAACAAGGAGGGGGUGAGACCAGAGAUGUUUUUGCAAGCUCAGUUUACAAGCCGAGUGCUCAGUUCCAAAGGGAAGCGCGCUCAAUCCACUGGUUGGACCCAAUGACUGGAGUCUAGAUUCAUGACAUCCUCUGGAGGUCAUUUUUUUUCCUGGGUCCUCUGGUCCAUAUGACGGCUCAAUCAUGGGAAUGCUGCUAGAUGAUGUGAAUAUCACUGAAGCAAGGAGGUCUCAGAGCUGCAUUUACCCACACUCCUCCUUUCUCCACCUUUAACAUUAUCACCAUCGCUAUUUUUCAUCUUUAUCGUGCCCUCCUGCAGAGGCACUCAAUAAUGUGCCCAUUGUGCAAGUAAUCUAAAAUCCUUUUCGGCAAGCAAUAGUAUUUAGUAGUAAUAAAACACUAAUUUGUCUACCAAGUGACAUAUUUAUAGGAGCUGUUUACUUUGACAUAUUUUUAUUAUUUCUACUCAUUUGCUAAGUACUUUCCAAUACAUAUUUAUGAAGCACAUGCCUUUCCCCGAACAGUACUGAAAAAAUAAAUCAUAUUAUUUCUUUUAUUAGUAGCAGCAUGGCUUGUAAGUGCUAGUGCCCUGAUUUUUGUUACUUCUGGCACGAGCUGAAAGAAUUAAUGGUGAUUGAGCACCUACUAUGUGCCAGAGUUUCUGUGAAAGGCACUUUACAUAAAUUAUCUAUUAAGUUCCCCUGAGACAUAUAAUUUUACCAAUAAGGAAAAUAUAAUUCCCCUGCAACAUAGAUUUUACUAAUGAGACAGAGACAGUACCUGUCCAAGUAAUUUGGCCAGAAGGCAUUUUGAACCCAGAUCUUUUCCUUAACCCAAACCCCAAAUCAUCAUUCCAUUUCACCAGGCCCUCUUAACUUCUCUGGACCUAAUUAAUUACGUAAAAUAUAAAGAAUUCCUUUGUGUAGAUUACCCCAGAAUGGAACAGAGAUAAACAGACACGAGAUGCUUAUCCCAAUUUUUCUAUAAGCGGUAACUCUCUAAGGGAGUUAUUCCCUAAGAAAUCAGUGGUAAGGUAUUUUCCAAAGAGACUGGCCAAUACAAGAGUUCUACUCAUUCCUGGAGACAGGACUGCUUACGUAGUGCGCAGGGCACAGUGCAAAAUAUGGGACCCUUGUUCAAAA